This 469-nucleotide ribosomal RNA is filed under the name uncultured bacterium. RNAcentral describes it as "partial 16S ribosomal RNA". It matches the Rfam family "Bacterial small subunit ribosomal RNA", at positions 28 to 507 of the family's 1533-position model. The record is from RNAcentral.
GACGAACGCUGGCGGCGUGCUUAACACAUGCAGGUCGAACGGAAAGGCCCCUUUGUGGGUACGCGAGUGGCGGACGGGUGGGUAACUCGUGAGUAACCUGCCCUUGACUUCGGUAGAACUUAAGGAAACUAGGGCGAAUACCGGCUAGGAAUGCGUGCCGCCUGGAGGGGGGGGGAAAGAUUGGGCGGGUGGGUGUGGACGGGCUGGUGGUGUGUUUGUUGGUUGGGGGGGUGGUUGCCUAGCAAUGGAUUGACGGGUAGCCGGCCCGGGCGGGCGACCGGCCAAAUUGGGAAUGAGAUACGGCCCAGACUCCGUCGGGGGGGAGCAGGGGGGAAGAUUGGACAAGGGGCGGGAGGCUGAUGCCGCAACGCCGCGGGCGGGAUGACGGGCCUCGGGUUGUAAACCGCCUUCCGCAGGGGAGAAGCUUGUGGUGACGGUACCUGCAGAAGAAGCACCGGCUAACUACGUG